RNAcentral lists this transfer RNA (60 nucleotides) under Aplastodiscus arildae (Teresopolis treefrog). Its description in RNAcentral is "partial tRNA-Ile". The record is from RNAcentral. Lineage: Eukaryota; Metazoa; Chordata; Amphibia; Anura; Hylidae.
GGAAGUAUGCCCGAAAGUUAAGGAUCUCCUUGAUAGGGAGCACCACAGGUGUUCAAAUCA